Triplophysa rosa is the source of this 6579-nucleotide RNA transcript. It is a transcript of the gene named potassium channel, subfamily K, member 5b, with no coding region annotated. The record is from RefSeq and is a predicted model, not a curated record. The transcript has 2 exons. Lineage: Eukaryota; Metazoa; Chordata; Actinopteri; Cypriniformes; Nemacheilidae.
UAAUGUAAAGUAUAUAAUAUCAUUGAGGCAUUUGCUGGACGAAUGCAUACAAGUAUUGUUAUGCUUUAUAUUACUAAUCAGAGACCGUAAAAUAUGUAUAUUUGAUCACUAAACUAAACUAAACUAAUUCCUUGACUGAAAUUGAUGUUUUAAAUAACUCAUUUCAUGGAUAUGAUCUUGAAAGAUCUGGUGGAGAACCAUAUUUGGUGAGCUUUGCUCAUCAAUAUAAUAACGUUAGCUAAAACCGCUACAUAAUUGGUGGAGGGAAUGCGGGCGCAGUUUUAAAACUCGUUUUGUAAGCAGAACUCAGUGACUAUUCAUGUGUGUUUUUAUGGAUGUUUAUUGAAACCGAAUACUCUCUUAAAUGGCACUUUAUGUAUGAAUGAAGGUGUGGACCCACCCACAUAUCCUUGGCAGACUCUUGAGCUUCUCGCAGAGAAAACCUCAGCCUCUGUCAAAGAUUUAGUGACAAUAUAAAGACAAAGAAAUCUCUUUAUAGCGCACUAUACUAUUAUUUAACCGGCCUAAAUUGAGCGAAGAAAUCCUCUUUUAGCGAGAAGGUAGAGCGAGACUCGCUCCCUUAAGUUACUGCGCCGUAACAAGCCUCUGUGACCUAUUUAGGAAAAGCCCAAGGUACUGUUAAUGAUGGUCAAGUUAACUGCAAUUUAAUGUGACCCUAUAAAACGAAGAAAUCUUUUAUAGAGAGUCCCGGUAUUAUUUAACCGCCCUAAAUUGAGCGAAGAAAUCCUCUUUUAGCGCGAAGAAGGUAGAGCGAGACUCGCUCCCUUAAGUUACUGUGCCGAAACAAGCCUCUGUGACCUAUUUAGGAAAAGCCCAAGGUACUGUUAAUGAUGGUUAAGUUACCUGCAAUUUAAUGUGACCCUAUAAAAUGAAGAAAUCUUUUAUAGAGAGUCCCGAUAUCGUUUGACCGCCCCAAUCUGAGCGAAGAAAUCCUCUUGUUAGCGCGAAAGAAAUAGUGGAGCGAAUUUCCUCCCUAGUUCGUGAACGGCCGAAUUAUGUGUAAAUUAGAUUUUGAAGCAUUGCGUGUUCCAAUGUUUUCAUCUAAGACACACCGCUUCCCGAAGUUUAACCAUUAGACUAGCUAACUAAUGCGUGCUUUCUCGUUUUCUCUUGAGUAGACGAGGCGAAAGGAUACUGUGUACUGUAUAUGUACUUUACUGUAUAUUGUAUAGUUAAACAGUAGAUGACGACCGUUUAAAGGGGAGUGUGAUAAAAAUCUUGAUCAAGUGUUUUUUUUUUUAUGUUACGUUCGGCAAAUAACUUUCAGGAUGGCGAAGAAAUCCCGUUAGUCAGUUAUAGUGUAGUAUGUGUACGUUGAAAAGCCAUGUACCCGUGUUCAGGUAAACUGACAUGAGCCAUUAGAACUGCGAUCAAAUUACACUUGUCGCCAUUGCAAAUGUGCGUUAAUGUAAGUGUGAUUCCACAUAGAAUGUGGAACCGGAAGUCCGGCAGAAGACACAUUACCGUCUACUAACACUAGAGGUCAAUUUGUCUUAAAGUGUCUAACACUUCUCCUGUCUCAUCUCUGCCCGACUUCCCCCCUUUGCUCGGGCAACGCUAUCUUGUGUGAAGUCUCAGGCAGUCUACUCCUUUUGUUUGAUUUGUCUGAUUUCAUUUUAUGAUUUCAUUAUUCUGCUAUUGCACCGUUUACUUUAUUUGAGAAUAUUUAUUAUUUGUUAUUAUAUACAAACUAUAAUGAUAAUUAAUAUUAUUGUGGUUCGGGGCGUUUCAUUUGUUGGGACUGUGUGGGUCUGGUCUGGUUGGUCUUGUUUUGUGGUCGAUGUCGGACAACAGAGGAAUAAAGUUAAUUAUGCCAUUACUGCUUUUCGUUGGUUGUCCCUCUGUUGUCUGUUGUUGAUCACGGAAUGGGACCGGGUUGGACCUGCACGGUUUCGGCGGGUGGGGCUUCCUGGGUCGCGACUCGUGGGCUCUCCCUGUUCUUCGUGGACGUUGCUCGGUGGCUUUGGUCGGGGUCACUGAGUGCAGCUAUGACACGUCAGAGGAGAUCUGGCCCUCCCGGCUGAGCCUGGUUUCUCCCGAGGUUUUUAUUUCUCCAUUAUUCAGCAUUGGAGUUUGGGUUCCUCGCCACAGCAGAGCAGUGCAGUGUUGGCUUGCUCACCGGGAGACUGCAUUUAUUUAUUUAUUCAUUUAUUUAUUAGAUAUUAUUUAUUAUAAUGAUCUUGCUUGGUCUAUAAACACCAUGCACUGUGCUGUGUUUUACCUUUCUGUGUUUUUCUUAUUUGCUCCUGUAAAGCUGCUUUGGAACAAUGCACAUUGUGAAAAGCGCUAUAUAAAAUAAAAUUGAAUUGAAUAUUAUUCCAUUAUUGUUCAUUAUUGUGAAAACAUGUUGUUAACGAAUACUUUUCGUCAUAGUUUUCGUCAAAGAAAUUAACACUGUUUCAAAGUAGGACUGCUACAUCAAGAGUCUAUCACACUAUACAUUGUAGACUCACCCAAGCAGGAGAUCAUCCUAGGUUUUCCCUGGCUCUCUGCUCAUGACCCUGACAUCUCUUGGCAUCAUGGUGAACUCACACAUUGGUCCUCUUUCUGCCUAAAGAACUGUUUUCCCACAAUCCCAAAACCAUGUCUAUCCACGAGUAUAGAAAGCCCAAGGACCAACACUACCAUGAACAUUCCCACCUGUUACAACGACCUCUCUGAAGUGUUCAGUAAAACCAAAGCCACACAAUUACCACCACACCGGUCAUGGGAUUUUUUGUUGAGAAAAAGGACAGAGGACUUCGACCAUGUAUUGAUUACAGAAUACUCAACAACGUCACUGUGAAAUAUUGUUACCCACUGCCCUUAGUUCCUUCAGCCCUCGAACAGUUACGAGAAGCCACGAUCUACACUAAACUAGACUUAAGAAGUGCAUAUAAUCUGAUUAGAAUUAAGGAAAGUGAUCAAUGGAAAACAGCUUUUAUCACUACCCAAGGUCACUACGAAUACCAAGUCAUGCCCUACGGACUAGCCAAUGCCCCAGCCAUAUUCCAAUCAUUCAUCAAUGAAAUUUUGAAAGAUCUACUCAACCAAUUUGUAGUAGCCUACAUUGAUGAUAUACUCAUAUGCUCCAAGACUGAAGCUGAACAUUUCAAGCAUGUCAGAACCAUUCUUUCACAUCUCCUAGAAAAUCAACUUUACGUAAAGGCAGAAAAAUGUGAGUUUCAUGUUAGACAAACCUCGUUCCUGGGCUACCAAAUAAGUUACCAAGGAGUUAAGAUGAAUAACGACAAAAUCUGUGCUGUCACAGAAAGGCCUCAACCGUCAACAGUGAAAGAAUUACAAAGAUUCCUAGGUUUCACAAACUUCUACAGACGGUUCAUUCACAAUUACAGCACUGUGGCUUCUUCUCUCACCUCUCUACUGAAAAGGAAACCUUCGAAACUAAGAUGGACUAUGGAGGCCAACAAUGCAUUCAUCACUCUCAAGGAGAGGUUCACAACUGCCCCCAUUCUGAAACACCCAGAUCCGAAUCUACCAUUUAUCAUCGAAGUAGAUGCUUCUGAUUGUGGAGUUGGAGCAGUACUGUCCCAAAGACAUGACCAACCAGGAAAAUUGCAUCCCUGCACCUUCUACUCAAGAAAAUUAACCAUGGCAGAGCAAAAUUAUGAUGUAGGAAACAAGGAACUACUCUCGGUGAAGGUUGCCAUGGAAGUAUGGAGACACUGGCUAGAGGGAGCCACCCACCCAUUCCAAGUUAUCACAAAUCACAAGAACCUAGAAUACACGAAGAGUGCUAAACGUUUAAAUCCAUGCCAAGCCAGGUGGUCAUUGUUCUUCAGUCAUUUCCAAUUCACCGUAACGUACAGACCAGGCAGCAAGAACAGCAAAGCAGAUGCUCUGUCCAGGCAAUAUGAUUCCAUUCACAAACACCAUAUAUCUGAACCUAUCCUUCCUCCAUCUGUCAUAUCUUUACACUUCAUCCUCCAAUUCUAAUGUAUUAUUAAUAAUACAAACACUUUUUUUACUUACCAGCUGUUUUCAAACUAAAUAAUGUUUUUUCCAUGUUUUUCAAGUUAGUCAUCGGUAGUAGUGGACACAAAACACUUUUCUGUAGUGCACAGUAAACAGGGCUCUGUAAAUUACUUUUAUGGGGGAAUUAUUAACUUAGUGGGGACCUUCAGAAAGACUACAAACCUAUAUUAAAGACAGACAAUGUGAAAAGAAUAUUUCCUACUGCCUGUUUUUAUUUUUUUGCCACUAACGUGUGUUUCCAGUACAUUCAGACCGUCCACAGUGGACGCACUUACAAACGUACACAGCGGAGACCUCAGCACCAUCUUCGGUUACUCUGCACUAGCUUGUCUGGCUGUAGGGCUCUGGAACUGCCAGUCAUCUGUCAACAAGGCAGACUUCAUCCCGGCCUUUGCCAGUCAGUCUACUGUAAUCUUAAUGUUCUGGAUCUGUAGAGAACACUUCUACUCCAUCGGCCCUCUCCACCUACUUCAACUUCACUCACACUGGAACAGGUUUACUUGUUUCCAACACCUGGAAAUUAACUCCUCUGUCUUUUCCUUGCAGCAACUCCUCAUUCGAAUACCAUGCAAUCACCAUCACUUAUCCAUCAAAAAUACAUUGUGUUGUCAUCUGUUGCCCUCGAGGUCAACUGGGAAACUUCGUAGAAGAGCUUGACACGCUGCUGUCCUUUAUCCCUGAAGAUGGCACUCCACUGGUAAUGCUAGGUGACUUCAACAUCCACCUAGACAUACCAAGCAGCACAAGAAGCCUCUUAGGUCUCCUCUCCUCGUUUGACCUUCACAGGGCACCCCUCCCACCCACAGAGGACAACAGCUCGAUCUUGUUCUGACUCGUAACUGCACCGCUAAUAAUAUUCUAGUUACUCCCCUGCAUGUCUCUCACCAUUUCUUUAUAAAGUUCACUGUAACACUCCCUGCAAUCUCACCUCCCACCCCUAACCCUGUUUCUUUCUGUCAUAAUCUUUGUUACCUCUCUCCCAUCUGCUUUUCAUCCAUGGUGUAUUCCUCCCUACACACGACAAGCCUUUACUCAUCUCUCAACAUUGAGGAAGCUACUGAUAGUCUCUGUACAACCUUAACAUCCUGUCUUGACAGUGUCUGCCCUCUUACCUCUAGGCCUGCACUUGCUACACCCUCUUGCCCCUGGCUUUCUGAGACUCUUUGCAACCAUCGGACCAAGCUAAGGGCUGCAGAGAGGAAGUGGUGCAAGUCAAGGGACCCUGCUAAUCUCUCCAAGUAUCAACAUCUUAACUCAUUUGCUACUGAUAUGUCUGCAGCCAAAACCAAGUACUUUCAAAACAAAACCCAAACUGCAUCUAACCUGCGUCAACAUUCUCCUCUUUUCUCUGUCCCCCUUCACCUCCCACCAAUACCUCGCUGACUUCUGAUGCCAAAUUCUUCAUUGAUAAAGUGGAGACCAUCAGCAGGCAAUUCCCUGCUCAACGCAUCCCUGAUCUCUCUCUCUCUUACCCCUUGCUAUACUUAACUCCCUUCUUUCUCUCCCCUAUGGGAGAGUGUUGUCUCCAAAAUUCUCCUUUCCACUCGGCCUACUACCUGCCCCCUUGACCCGAUCCCUUCCCACCUCCUACGGGCUAUCUCUCUGUCUCUACUGCCUCAACUCGCACACAUUAUAAAUACCUCCAUCACAACUGGUACUGUCCCCACUUCAUUUAAACAAGCCCUGGUAACACAUGUACUCAAAAAACCGACACACGACCCCUCAGCGGUCAGCGACUACAGACCAAUCUCACUCCUGCCUUUCCUUUCCAAGGCCCUCGAAAGGGUUGUAUUUAACCAACUCUCUGCCUAUCUCUCACAGCACAACAUUCUGGACAGUCAACAAUCCGGCUUCAAGAAAGGACAUUCUAUGGAGACCGCUCUCCUGUUAAAUCCUUGUCAUGUGUCCUUAUUCUGCUUGAUCUCUCUGCUGCAUUUGACACUGUGUACCACCAGAUCCUGCUGUCCACUCUCUCCAAACUGGGCAUCUCUGGAACUGCACUGGAACUGGUUUGACUCUUUUCUCACAGGCAGAUCCUUUAAGGUAUCCUGGAGAGGUGAGACAUCCAGAUCUCACCAGCUGACAACUGGAGUUCCUCAGGGUUUAGUUAUUGCACCUCUCUUCUUUUCUAUAUAUACCACCUCCCUGGGUCCAACUAUUAAGGUACAAGGGUUCUCGUACCAUUUCUAUGCAAAUGAUACGCUUUAUUUCUCUUUUCAGCCAGAUGACCCCACCAUCUCUGCCCGUGUCUCUGACUGCCUUCUGGACAUCUCUUCUUGGAUGAAAGAGCAUCACCUACAAAUCAACCUCUCCAAGACAGAACUCCUGGUUAUACUGGCCCACCCUUCAAUUGUACACCACCUUACCAUUGAGCUCGGAUUCUCAACUAUAACACCAACCAUGUCUGCGAAGAACCUGGGGGUGAUGUUCGACGAUCAGCUGAAAUUCACCUUUCACAUCGCAGCAACCACACAAACUUGCAGGUUGUAGCCCAGGCGGCUGGAAAAGGUGUGACUGUAACAGGAGGAAAACAAUUCAACAACUGGAAUUGGGAGAACGCUGUUAUUUUUGCUGCCACGGUCA